AUUGAACGCUGGCGGCAGGCCUAACACAUGCAAGUCGAGCGGAGCGGCGGACGGGUGAGUAAUGCCUAGGAAUCUGCCUGGUAGUGGGGGAUAACGUCCGGAAACGGGCGCUAAUACCGCAUCCUAUCAGAUGAGCCUAGGUCGGAUAAGCUAGUUGGUGGGGUAAAGGCCUACCAAGGCGACGAUCCGUAACUGGUCUGAGAGGAUGAUCAGUCACAUUGGAAAUAAGACACGGUCCAGACUCCUACGGGAGGCAGCAGUGGGGAAUAUUGGCCAAUGGGCGAAAGCGUUAUCAAGCCAUGUCGCGGUGGUGAAGAAGGUCUUCGGAUUGUAAAGCAUUUGAAGUUGGGAGGCGUGACCAACAGAAUAAGCACCGGCUAACUUCGUGCCAGCAGCCGCGGUAAUAC
This 407-nucleotide ribosomal RNA is filed under the name uncultured bacterium. RNAcentral's name for it is "partial 16S ribosomal RNA". It matches the Rfam family "Bacterial small subunit ribosomal RNA", at positions 30 to 526 of the family's 1533-position model. The record is from RNAcentral.